Saccostrea echinata is the source of this 657-nucleotide long non-coding RNA. RefSeq lists it as uncharacterized. The transcript has 3 exons. Lineage: Eukaryota; Metazoa; Mollusca; Bivalvia; Ostreida; Ostreidae. The record is from RefSeq and is a predicted model, not a curated record.
AUUGGCAGCUGUUUCUCGUUCAUUAUUUGUGCCAAGAAGCAUAUCACACAUAUAUCCUCUGUUGUUGGACAGGUUCUAAAAAAAUACAGCCGAGGCCACGUUUGAGCUGUGUGGGAUCUAUGUUCCCUUUCGGAUAUCCUCAUUUUUUUGUGCGUCUCCUCAUGGAACGUUGUAUACAUUAUUAGGACUUCUAAUAUCUGAUGGAAGAAUCAAGCCAGACCUUUUUUCCCUCCAUUAUGAUUCCAGUAUGGUAAACUACCUCAGAACUUCAUACACUGGACAUGUGACUGGUCUUUCAAGAGAAACUCCAGGUGGCAAGCCUCAUCACCCCUACUGAUAUAGAUCCAAUCACCAGCCACCAAUAGGGUUGAAGUUAAUAUUUGGAGUUGCCAGACCUCAGACAGUGAAAAUUCCAAAGACUCAGAUGGAUAUGUACAAGUAAUAGGACUGGUAUCAACCGCUGAGAUGAGACAAACUGGGAAUUCUUUGAUAAACUUUUUUCAAGCAUUAAGGAAAUCUGAUAAACACAAUAAAUGCUCAUAUAUGAUUGACAUUAAUAAUUUAUUUAUAAUUUUUUCUCAGUUUGAAAAACAGUAGUUAUCACAGAAUACUUAGAACAAUUGGUCCAAAACAACAAUUUGGAACAAAAGGACAAAA